UCGUGGAUAUGGCAGACUCUAGAUGG
Molecule: unclassified non-coding RNA, 26 nt
Filed under: Mus musculus (house mouse)
Lineage: Eukaryota; Metazoa; Chordata; Mammalia; Rodentia; Muridae
Description: oocyte_clustered_small_RNA1183
Source: RNAcentral